UAGAGUUUGAUCCUAGCUCAGGAUGAACGCUGGCGGUGUGGAUAAGGCAUGCAAGUCAAACGGCCCAGCACUUACGCAAGUAAGUGCUGGAUAGUGGCAGACGAGGUAGUAAUACGCAGGAACCUACUCCUAAGACGGGAAUAAUUUCGCGAAAGCGGGACUAAUACCCGAUAAUAUCUUCGGAUUAAAUCGAGCAAUCGGCUUAGGAAAGGGCCUGCGGCGUAUCAGCUAGUUGGUAGGGUAAUGGCCUACCAAGGCAUAGACGCGUAGGGGACCUGAGAGGGUGACCCUCACCGAUGGGACUGAGAACGGCCCAUACACCUACGGGUGGCAGUAGCCGAGAAUAUUCGACAAUGGGCGAAAGCCUGAUCGAGCGACACCGCGUGAUGGAUGAAGUCCCUAGGGACGUAAACAUCUUUUGUAGAGGAGAAAGUUUCGAUUGAUAGUACUCUAAGAAUAAGGGGUUGCUAAACUCGUGCCAGCAGCAGCGGUAAUACGAGUGCCCCAAGCGUUAUCCGGAAUCAUUGGGCGUAAAGGGUGUGUAGGCGGUUUCUUUAGUCUUCUGUCAAAAUCCGUGGCUCAACCCCGGACCUGCGGAGGAAACGGAGAGACUCGAGAGUGCGAGAGGUGAAUGGAACUCAUGGAGUAGGGGUGAAAUCCGUUGAUACCAUGGGGAACACCGAAAGCGAAGGCAAUUCACUGGCGCAUUUCUGACGCUGAAACACGAAAGCGUGGGUAGCGAACGGGAUUAGAUACCCCGGUAGUCCACGCCCUAAACGAUGAUCACUAGCUUUUCGGAGUAUCAACCCUCUGAGAGGCGAAGCUAACGCGUUAAGUGAUCCGCCUGGGUAGUACGGCCGCAAGGCUAAAACUCAAAGGAAUAGACGGGGACUUGCACAAGCAGUGGAUUAUGCGGUUUAAUUCGAUGGCAAACGAAAAACCUUACCAGGGUUAGAAGACCAAACGAAUCCGCCGAGAAAUUGGCAGAGUCCGCAAGGACGGUUGGGCAGGUGAUGCAUGGCCGUCGUCAGUUCGUGGCUUGAGUUGAUCCCUUCAGUGGGGAAACGAACGCAACCCCUAUCGUCG
This 1086-nucleotide ribosomal RNA is filed under the name Candidatus Zambryskiibacteriota bacterium. RNAcentral describes it as "bacterial SSU rRNA". It matches the Rfam family "Bacterial small subunit ribosomal RNA", at positions 1 to 1113 of the family's 1533-position model. Lineage: Bacteria; Candidatus Zambryskiibacteriota. The record is from RNAcentral.